UACGUAGGGGGCGAGCGUUGUCCGGAUUUAUUGGGCGUAAAGAGCUCGUAGGCGGCUUGGCAAGUCGGGUGUGAAACCUCCAGGCUCAACCUGGAGACGCCACUCGAUACUGCCAUGGCUAGAGUCCGGUAGGGGACCACGGAAUUCCUGGUGUAGCGGUGAAAUGCGCAGAUAUCAGGGGGAACACCGGUGGCGAAGGCGGUGGUCUGGGCCGGCACUGACGCUGAGGAGCGAAAGCGUGGGUAGCAAACAGG
This 254-nucleotide ribosomal RNA is filed under the name uncultured bacterium. RNAcentral describes it as "partial 16S ribosomal RNA". It matches the Rfam family "Bacterial small subunit ribosomal RNA", at positions 524 to 776 of the family's 1533-position model. The record is from RNAcentral.